RNAcentral lists this transfer RNA (75 nucleotides) under Candidatus Poseidoniaceae archaeon. Its description in RNAcentral is "tRNA-Ile". It matches the Rfam family "tRNA". From Rfam's summary of the family: Transfer RNA (tRNA) molecules are approximately 80 nucleotides in length. Their secondary structure includes four short double-helical elements and three loops (D, anti-codon, and T loops). Further hydrogen bonds mediate the characteristic L-shaped molecular structure. tRNAs have two regions of fundamental functional importance: the anti-codon, which is responsible for specific mRNA codon recognition, and the 3' end, to which the tRNAs corresponding amino acid is attached (by aminoacyl-tRNA synthetases). tRNAs cope with the degeneracy of the genetic code in two manners: having more than one tRNA (with a specific anti-codon) for a particular amino acid; and 'wobble' base-pairing, i.e. permitting non-standard base-pairing at the 3rd anti-codon position. Lineage: Archaea; Methanobacteriati; Thermoplasmatota; Candidatus Poseidoniia; Candidatus Poseidoniales; Candidatus Poseidoniaceae. The record is from RNAcentral.
GGGCCUGUAGCUUAGUCUGGUCAGAGCCCCCGGCUCAUAACCGGGUGGCCGUCGGUUCGAAUCCGACCGGGCCCA